Molecule: ribosomal RNA, 257 nt
Filed under: uncultured bacterium
Lineage: Bacteria
Description: partial 16S ribosomal RNA
Rfam family: Bacterial small subunit ribosomal RNA
Source: RNAcentral
UACGGAGGGGGCUAGCGUUAUUCGGAAUUACUGGGCGUAAAGCGCACGUAGGCGGACUGGAAAGUUGGGGGGUGAAAGCCCAGGGCUCAACCCUGGAACUGCCUUCAAAACUCCCAGUCUUGAGGUCGAGAGAGGUGAGUGGAAUUCCGAGUGUAGAGGAGUGAAAUUCGUAGAUAUUGGGAAGAACACCGGUGGCGAAGGCGGCUCUCUGGACCGAUACUGACGCUGAGGCGCGAAAGCGUGGGGAGCAAACAGGG